UACGAAGGGGGCUAGCGUUGCUCGGAAUUACUGGGCGUAAAGGGAGCGUAGGCGGACAUUUAAGUCAGGGGUGAAAUCCCAGAGCUCAACUCUGGAACUGCCUUUGAUACUGGGUGUCUUGAGUGUGAUAGAGGUAUGUGGAACUCCGAGUGUAGAGGUGAAAUUCGUAGAUAUUCGGAAGAACACCAGUGGCGAAGGCGACAUACUGGAUCAUUACUGACGCUGAGGCUCGAAAGCGUGGGGAGCAAACA
This 251-nucleotide ribosomal RNA is filed under the name uncultured Mycoplana sp. RNAcentral describes it as "partial 16S ribosomal RNA". It matches the Rfam family "Bacterial small subunit ribosomal RNA", at positions 524 to 774 of the family's 1533-position model. The record is from RNAcentral. Lineage: Bacteria; Pseudomonadati; Pseudomonadota; Alphaproteobacteria; Hyphomicrobiales; Rhizobiaceae.